GCCGCGGUGGCGGCACCUCUUCUUGCGGUGGGAGCAGCGCCGCGCGCGCUGUCGAACCACUCGUCGUCGCAACGACACUGCCAGAUGGGGCUGUAAACAAGGCAUCGCAUUGCACGCUUUCGACCGUUUGGCGUUGUGUGCCGCACACGGUACAAUGCGCGCCACCAUAGGGGACCAAGCCGCUUCCGGCGUUGCUGCUCGUGUCGUCGUCGCCCUGUGCGUGCCCGACAAAGCGUGCUGAACCGGGCCAAAAUCCGACGGCUAAAAGAGGCCCGGCGCAUCGCGCGCACACAAACCGCCCACGAACCGACAGGCCUCUCCCGAUGGCGUGGCCGCCGGCGGGUGCGGGAUUGCACGGCGUCGCCAUGCGCGCUUGUUGUCUUCUUUGUCGCCGUUGCCCUUUGGAGAGGCGCGCGCUGUGCCCACUUUUUCCACCAGAGAGCAAGAAAAAUAUAUGGGCACCAGAAAUAGGCCCGUCGCGCGCUGUCCUCUGGUUGCCGGUCUUUUUUUUUGCUGACGAUGUUG
Molecule: long non-coding RNA, 525 nt
Filed under: Pandoravirus neocaledonia
Description: hypothetical ncRNA
Source: RNAcentral